RNAcentral lists this long non-coding RNA (586 nucleotides) under Mytilus galloprovincialis (Mediterranean mussel). Lineage: Eukaryota; Metazoa; Mollusca; Bivalvia; Mytilida; Mytilidae. The record is from RNAcentral.
AAUUUCCAUAGAUUAUUGAACAGGAAACAUAGAGCGCAUACGUCGACAACAAAGAUCUUUUAAAAUAAUGUUUGUGCAGACAUUUCACAUGUCUUAUUUGAAUAUUAAGCUUGUCGACGCCUGCGCUCUAUGUUUCCUGGUCCUUUAUUUGGUUGAAAUCCAGCUGAUUUUGUCAAAUUUCACAAAAAUCCCUUAUCUUGACCUUUUUGUGAUGUAAAAAUCAACGUGUUAGAAUUAAACUUUGACAAAAACAGUUCUGUUUAACUUUCUCACAUGUCUUUAAAGCAACUUAAAACAUUUAUUGUCUUGUAACUAUGAACUUUAUAAUUGGGGCCAAAUAUGGCCCUUACCGAACUUACUCCUUUAUGUGACGUAUAAAAUUUUCUGACGUCAGACACUCAAAUCAAUAAAUGUGUUCGUAGAUAGUAGAUGUUUUUGUGUUCUGUUAAAUUGUUCCUUUUAAAAUUGUUAAACGAUGAUGACUGAUGUACCCAUAUUUUGACUAUUAUAUUUAUUGUGUCUGUUUAUUUAACGCAUCAAUGUAAAAAUAUCGGAAAUUGAUGAGACUGUCAUUAAAGUGAGAGGG